This 93-nucleotide transfer RNA is filed under the name Candidatus Zixiibacteriota bacterium. RNAcentral describes it as "tRNA-Sec". It matches the Rfam family "Selenocysteine transfer RNA". The record is from RNAcentral. Lineage: Bacteria; Pseudomonadati; Candidatus Zixiibacteriota.
GGAAGCGGAUAGGGUCUGGUGGCCCUCGCGGUCUUCAAAACCGUAGUUAGCCGGCGACCCCGGCUUUGGCAGGUUCGAUUCCUGUCCCUUCCG